GCAACCUGGCGGCGAGUGGCGAACGGGUGAGUAAUAUAUCGGAACGUACCCUGGAGUGGGGGAUAACGUAGCGAAAGUUACGCUAAUACCGCAUACGAUCUAAGGAUGAAAGUGGGGGAUCGCAAGACCUCAUGCUCCUGGAGCGGCCGAUAUCUGAUUAGCUAGUUGGUAGGGUAAAAGCCUACCAAGGCAUCGAUCAGUAGCUGGUCUGAGAGGACGACCAGCCACACUGGAACUGAGACACGGUCCAGACUCCUACGGGAGGCAGCAGUGGGGAAUUUUGGACAAUGGGCGAAAGCCUGAUCCAGCAAUGCCGCGUGAGUGAAGAAGGCCUUCGGGUUGUAAAGCUCUUUUGUCAGGGAAGAAACGGUGAGGGCUAAUAUCUCUUGCUAAUGACGGUACCUGAAGAAUAAGCACCGGCUAACUACGUGCCAGCAGCCGCGGUAAUACGUAGGGUGCAAGCGUUAAUCGGAAUUACUGGGCGUAAAGCGUGCGCAGGCGGUUUUGUAAGUCUGUCGUGAAAUCCCCGGGCUCAACCUGGGAAUGGCGAUGGAGACUGCAAGGCUAGAGUUUGGCAGAGGGGGGUAGAAUUCCACGUGUAGCAGUGAAAUGCGUAGAUAUGUGGAGGAACACCGAUGGCGAAGGCAGCCCCCUGGGUCAAGACUGACGCUCAUGCACGAAA
This 682-nucleotide ribosomal RNA is filed under the name uncultured soil bacterium. RNAcentral's name for it is "bacterial SSU rRNA". It matches the Rfam family "Bacterial small subunit ribosomal RNA", at positions 79 to 758 of the family's 1533-position model. The record is from RNAcentral.